Molecule: long non-coding RNA, 1060 nt
Organism: Cyprinus carpio (common carp)
Lineage: Eukaryota; Metazoa; Chordata; Actinopteri; Cypriniformes; Cyprinidae
Exons: 5
Source: RefSeq, a predicted model, not a curated record
GUGUUUAUGUAGUAAAAGGAUGAGUAAUUUUUCGACUUAUAUAAGAACCUGUUAGGACUUCCAUUCCAUUCGUUCUUUCAGUUGGAUGUAAACAGUCAUUGAGGAGAGACUCUAGAUCCCGGAGGACAGAGGUAAAGUCACGUGCUCUUCUUUGUAUUCUGUUCUGUAGUUCUACACAUAUAUCAAUAUUAUACUGAGAUACAGUUAUAUACAAAUAUCUCACACAGAAUGUAACAUUUAACUGGAUAAAAAAAAUAUACUUCCAGAUGUAUCUUAUAUAUAGUUAUCUACUGAAAUAUACUUUUAAAUAUUCUUCUUUUUUUCAGAAGGUUGACUGCACGCAUUAGAAGAACCAUGUUUCACAUCCAAGGACAACUUAGUUGGAAACUCCUGCUGUGUAUUUUGUUAUCAUUGACAGUAGACUUUGCGUCAGGGCCACGCAGCAGAAGUGAUUGUUCUACAAAUGAAUACUGGAGCGACGGGCUCUGCUGUGACAAAUGUGCUCCAGGGUAUAAGUUGGUGAGAGAAUGCUCUAGUGUCUUGUCAUCUCAAUGUGAGGAAUGUGAGAAUGGGACAUACCUAGACAAGAUGAACUAUUUCCCAAACUGCUUCAGAUGCGAGAAAUGCACCAAGCGAAAUGCGGUGGUGAUUUCACCAUGUACACCCCAAAAUAACACCGUGUGUGGAUGUCAGUCUGGAUACUUCAAAAAGUUCUUUGAUAGCAUUUCAUGGGAGUGUGCACCCUUGAACCUUAUUUUUCCUUUAAAAAUUAUUUGAAGGUUAGCCUGAAGUAUGACCGAAGAACAAAACAAAAAUGUAGUUCUUGUGAGAUGAGACUGAGUCAGAAUGUAUGGAAUCUACUUUCCCUUUAUUUUCAGCUUAAGAUGUAGUCUUAUGUAGUGGGGAUGUUGUGGCCUAGUGGUUAGAGAGUUUGACUCCUAACCCUAAGGUUGUGGGAUCGAGUCUCGGGCCGGCAAUACCACGACUGAGGUCAUGGAACAUGUAUCUAAUAACUUUUAUAAGGUUUGUAAAACAUUUCAAGAUGAACGUUUACUGGACU